UGUGGGGUCGGCUAAUGGUAGGCCAGCAGACUUUGGCUCUGCCUAUCCUGGUUCGAAUCCAGGCCCCACAG
This 71-nucleotide transfer RNA is filed under the name bacterium. RNAcentral's name for it is "tRNA-Gln". It matches the Rfam family "tRNA". From Rfam's summary of the family: Transfer RNA (tRNA) molecules are approximately 80 nucleotides in length. Their secondary structure includes four short double-helical elements and three loops (D, anti-codon, and T loops). RNAcentral also lists the same sequence under 1 other name. The record is from RNAcentral.